RNAcentral lists this ribosomal RNA (253 nucleotides) under uncultured bacterium. Its description in RNAcentral is "partial 16S ribosomal RNA". It matches the Rfam family "Bacterial small subunit ribosomal RNA", at positions 524 to 776 of the family's 1533-position model. The record is from RNAcentral.
UACGUAGGGGGCAAGCGUUAUCCGGAUUUACUGGGUGUAAAGGGAGCGUAGACGGCUUUGCAAGCCAGAUGUGAAAGCCCGGGGCUCAACCCCGGGACUGCAUUUGGAACUGUAUGGCUGGAGUGUCGGAGAGGCAGGCGGAAUUCCUAGUGUAGCGGUGAAAUGCGUAGAUAUUAGGAGGAACACCAGUGGCGAAGGCGGCUUACUGGACUGUAACCGACGUUGAGGCUCGAAAGCGUGGGGAGCAAACAGG